RNAcentral lists this ribosomal RNA (434 nucleotides) under uncultured Lachnospiraceae bacterium. RNAcentral describes it as "partial 16S ribosomal RNA". It matches the Rfam family "Bacterial small subunit ribosomal RNA", at positions 341 to 792 of the family's 1533-position model. The record is from RNAcentral. Lineage: Bacteria; Bacillati; Bacillota; Clostridia; Lachnospirales; Lachnospiraceae.
ACGGAAGGCAGCAGUGGGGAAUAUUGGACAAUGGGGGAAACCCUGAUCCAGCGACGCCGCGUGAGUGAGGAAGUAUUUCGGUAUGUAAAGCUCUAUCAGCAGGGAAGAAAAUGACGGUACCUGACUAAGAAGCCCCGGCUAACUACGUGCCAGCAGCCGCGGUAAUACGUAGGGGGCAAGCGUUAUCCGGAUUUACUGGGUGUAAAGGGAGCGCAGACGGCGAUGUAAGUCUGAAGUGAAAGCCCGCGGCUCAACUGCGGGACUGCUUUGGAAACUAUAUUGCUUGAGUGUCGGAGGGGCAAGCGGAAUUCCAUGUGUAGCGGUGAAAUGCGUAGAUAUAUGGAAGAACACCGGUGGCGAAGGCGGCUUGCUGGACGAUAACUGACGUUGAGGCUCGAAGGCGUGGGGAGCAAACAGGAUUAGAUACCCUGGUA